CUCACCUCUACACACUCUGACUUGGAUCUCUCUUCUCUCAUCUCACCCAUAAAUACUGAUCUUCUCCACCCACGUGCGCCUUUCGUUGUCGUGCUUCCAACGACUCAAGAGGCACGUGACCGCCGGGGUGCACCGAUCUUUCACCACCACGGAAGGGAACCGCCCUACCAUCAUCCACAAGCGCAGCCUCGACAUUCUCCACGAUCCUUGGUUCAACAAAGUUUUGAUUGCGAACAUUGAGGAAUAUGCACCAGUAGUGUACACUCCAACAGUUGGACUUGUAUGUCAGAACUAUAGUGGAUUGUUUAGAAGGCCAAGAGGAAUGUACUUUAGUGCCGAUGAUUGCGGAGAAAUGAUGUCUAUGGUCUAUAACUGGCCCGCUGAGCAGGUCCUUAAUUAUCCACAUCACACUAUCCCAUAAUCUUUUGAAUUGUCAAUAAAAAAAAAUCAAUUACAAAAGAGCCAUAUAAUUCUAAAUGGCAAAUCCUAAAUUACUAUGGAACUAUCCAAAUUGAUGGAGAAUCAAUCCUAUUUGCACAUUGCAUGAGACUCUUAACAAAUUUUUCUUGAAGAUUGAAAACACCCCAAUCAUGUCCACCAUACAUGUAAUUCAAAACCAUCUCUUAUCACCUAUCAUCUGUGAAGUAGAUUGAGUUUUCUUCACACCCUAAGCAAGUUUUAAUAUCCAUUGAUACAGACUCAUUAGCACCCAAGAACAGAACUUUAUCAUGUAAAAAUCUCAUUUUUUUCCACUUCUUGUCUCCAAUAUCAAGUUUAUAAACAGUAAAAUACUUUGUUUUAUAAGGACAAAUCAAUGGUUGUGUAUCCUCAGAUGAUAAAAGAUCUCCUUCUUUUACUACCAACCCGUCAUCAUUCACAAAAUUCCCAAUAAAUCUUAUCACCAGCAAGAUUUCUUCUGCAAAUACCACCAAGUACAAAUUUCUUGAGAAUUUAUCUCCUAAAUAUGGUUUCUCCUCUUCAUAAUUCGCCUCCACAGUUGGUGUUAGAAGAAUCAAUCUUUAAGAAUUUUCUCACAAAUAUUCCAAAUUGUGAAGCCGAAUUACGAGAAAAUCUUUAAGAAGUUUGGAAUAUUUGUGGAAAAAUUCUUAAAGAGUGAUUCUUCUAACACCAACUGUGGAGCCGAAUUAUGAAGAGGAGAAACCAUAUUUAGGAGAUAAAUUCUCAAGAAAUUUGUACUUGGUGAUAUCUGUAGAAGAAAUCUUGCUGGUGAUAAGGUUUAUUGGGAAUUUUGUGAAUGAUGACAGGUUGGUAGUAGAAGAAGGAGAUCUUUUAUCAUAUGAGGAUACACAACCAUUGAUUUGUCCUUAUAGAACAAAGUAUUUUACUGUUUAUAAACUUGAUAUUGGAAACAAGAAGUGGAAAAAAAUGAGAUCUUUACAUGAUAAAGAUCUGUUCUUGGGUGCUAAUCAGUCUUUAUCAAUGGAUGUUAAAGUUUGCUUGGGGUGUGAAGCAAACUCAAUCUACUUCACAGAUGAUAGGUGGGAAGAGAUGACUUUGGACUACAUGUAUGGUGGACAUGAUUGGGGUGUUUCCAAUCUUGAAGAGAAAUGUGUUAAGAGCCUUAUGCAAUGUGCAAAUAGGAUUGAUCCUCCACCAAUUUGGGUAGCUCUAUAGUAAUUUAGGGUUUGCCAUUUAGAAUGAUAUGGUUCUUUGGUAAUUGAUUUUUUUUUUGUUUCUUCUCUAUUUGACAAUUCAAAAAAUCUUGUAAAGAACUUAAGAUUCACUAAUUUUUUUUAAGUGCAUAUGACACAUUACAAUAUAUCUUUUUCUUUCCUCCUAGUAAUCUAUUCUAGUCUCUUUUUGGUAGAAACCUGUGUAUUAUGUGGUACAGUAAUCACCUUUUCUUUUUUACUUCUAAUUUAAAGAACAUCAUAAGCAAAUUGAAUUGAACAGUGUUAAACAUUAUGUUCUCUUAUUUUUCAUGCUUAGAAUAAAUGAAGAAAACAUUUCGUUUCGUAUAUAUCGGAAUGGGAAAUAAAAAACUAUUGUUGUUU
This is a non-coding RNA of Arachis ipaensis, 2015 nucleotides long. Lineage: Eukaryota; Viridiplantae; Streptophyta; Magnoliopsida; Fabales; Fabaceae. The record is from RefSeq and is a predicted model, not a curated record.